This 472-nucleotide long non-coding RNA is filed under the name Heterocephalus glaber (naked mole-rat). RNAcentral describes it as "lncRNA (ENSHGLG00100045215.1)". The record is from RNAcentral. Lineage: Eukaryota; Metazoa; Chordata; Mammalia; Rodentia; Bathyergidae.
CUUCUUUCUGUCUUCCUUCCCCCCACUCCCCGGCCUCCUUCUCCGCAUCUCCAGUCACUUUGCUUCGUACCUGCUGAUCUGCUGGUGCUAUUUGUCUUACGGGUUAUACUGCCUCCAUUCAUCAAGGUUAUUAGGCUCCUGCACAUGGCACACCUUUAUUCCUUUCAUUUCCCCUCUGCCUCCCGUCACCCCUGCCUGGUGUGUCUUCAACGGUCCCAUAAUAAAGCCUGGAGCUGCAGCCAAGUCACACAUGUUCCCGGACACAGGGAGGAACAAAUUCCAGGCAGAGAGGAAUUUCUACCAAACUGCUUCAGCUUCACGAUGAAGGGAAGGUUCUGAUGCUGUGGAGGAAGAGGAAAUGGGUACCAGGAAGGCUAUCCUCUACCAGAUGGUCAGAUGCAGAGCCAGGGCACGGACAGCAGAAGAGGCUGUGGUUAAUUCUAUUUUUUUUUCAAUUUUUUUUUUCUUUUUU